GGCAAAGGGCCGACUGACUUACUACCUUAGCCAAAAGGUUGGAACGAACGGAUUAAAUCCCCGGUAGUCACGCCAGUAACGAUGAUAUAGUUGGCGGGAGUUGACCCGGCCGUGCGGAGCUAACGCAGUAAGUAUCCGCCUGGGGAGUACGGCCGCAAGGCUAAACUCAAAGGAUUGACGGGGCCCCGCACAAGCAGCGGAGCGUGUGGUUUAAUUCGACGCAACGCGCAGAACCUUACCAGGACUUGACAUCCCGGGAAUCUCCCGGAAACGGGAGAGUGCUCUUCGGAGAGCCCGGAGACAGGUGUUGCAUGGCUGUCGUCAGCUCGUGUCGUGAGAUGUUGGGUUAAGUCCCGCAACGAGCGCAACCCCUGUGGCUAGUUACUUGGGUGUCUAGCCAGACUGCCGCAUAGCGGAGGAAGGCGGGGAUGACGUCAAGUCAGCAUGACCCUUAUGUCCUGGGCGACACACACGCUACAAUGGCCGGUACAGAGGGCAGCCAAGCCGCAAGGCGGAGCCAAUCCCAGAAAGCCGGUCUCAGUCCAGAUUGGGGGCUGCAACUCGCCCCCAUGAAGGUGGAGUUGCUAGUAACCGCAGGUCAGCAUACUGCGGUGAAUACGUUCCCGGGGCUUGUACACACCGCCCGUCACGUCAUGGAAGCCGGCAACACCUGAAGUCGGUGGGCUAACCCUUCGGGGAAGCAGCUGCCGAGGGUGGGGCUGGUGACUGGGACGAAGUCGUAACAAGGUAGCCGUAGAUAGNUUAA
RNAcentral lists this ribosomal RNA (766 nucleotides) under uncultured bacterium. RNAcentral describes it as "bacterial SSU rRNA". It matches the Rfam family "Bacterial small subunit ribosomal RNA", at positions 720 to 1514 of the family's 1533-position model. The record is from RNAcentral.